UAUCCUCCUUCCAAAUUUUUCCCGGCUUUUCCCGAAUUUUCCCGGCUUUCCCCUGUCCCCUUUUUCCCAGUUUUUCUCGGUUUUUCCCGGUUUUUCCCAAUUCCCCCUUCCCGCUUUUUCCUGUCCCUCAGAUUUCCCCUCAAAUCCGGCUUUUCCCCGCCACAGAUGUAAAUUUCGGGAAGGGACAAAAUUCUGUGGGAUAUCCGGGAAUGGGAACAGUGGGAUAUUCUGGAAUUCCCAUUUUAUUUUGUAAUGGAAAAAGGAUCAGAACCCCAAAUCUAUCUCUUCUCCUCAGGGGAAAAAAAUCCCAAAAUUCGUCUGGGGAAAAAAGCCCAAAAUUCCCUGCUCUGGGAAGACCCCUUGGAAUGGGUUUGGGGGUUUGGGAGUUUGGGAUUUUGGGGAUUUGGAGGUUUGGGAUUCCCGCAGAUCCUGCAGGCCAAGGUGGGAUGGAAAUUCCAAAUCCAUCUCUUCUCCUCAAGUGGAAAAAAACCCCAAAAUUCGUCUGGGAAAAAAAUCCAAAAAAUUCUCUGCUCCGGGAAGACCCCUUGGAAUGGGUCUGGGAUUUUGGGAUUUGGGGAUUUGGGAUUUGGGGAUUUUGGAAUUUUGAGGAUUUGGGAUUCGGCUCCUGAAGAUCCUGCAGGCCAAGGUGGGGUGGAAAUCCCAAAUCCAUCUCUUCUCCUCAAUGGGAAAAAACCCCAAAAUUCUUCUGGGAAAAAACCCCAAAAUUCCCUGCUCCAGGAAGACCCCUUGGAAUGGGUUUGGGAUUUUGGGGUUUUGGGAUUUUGGGGUUUUGGGAUUUUGGGAUUUGGGGAUUUUGAGGAUUUGGGAUUUUGGGGUUUUGGGGAGUUGGGAUUCCCGCAAAUCCUGCAGGACAAGCUGGGGCGGAAAUCUCAAAUCCAUCUCUUUUCCUCAAUGGGAAAAAAACCCAAAAUUCGUCUGGAAAAAAAGCCCAAAAUUCCCUGCUCCGGGAAGACCCCUUGGAAUGGGUUUGGGAUUUUGGGGGUUUGGGGAUUUUGGAAUUUUGGGGAUUUGGGAUUCGGCUCUUGAAGAUCCUGCAGGCCAAGGUGGGGAGGAAAUCCCAAAUCCAUCUCUUCUCCUCAAUGGGAAAAAA
Molecule: long non-coding RNA, 1111 nt
Filed under: Zonotrichia albicollis (white-throated sparrow)
Lineage: Eukaryota; Metazoa; Chordata; Aves; Passeriformes; Passerellidae
Description: lncRNA (ENSZALG00000009200.1)
Source: RNAcentral